UACCGAGGGUGCGAGCGUUCAUCGGAAUUACUGGGCGUAAAGCGCGCGUAGGCGGCUUUGCAAGUCGGGUGUGAAAUCCCCAGGCUUAACCUGGGAACUGCAUUCGAGACUGCAUUGCUAGAGUAUGGGAGAGGGAAGUGGAAUUUCCGGUGUAGCGGUGAAAUGCGUAGAUAUCGGAAGGAACAUCAGUGGCGAAAGCGACUUCCUGGACCAAUACUGACGCUCAUGUGCGAAAGCGUGGGGAGCAAACAGG
Molecule: ribosomal RNA, 253 nt
Filed under: uncultured bacterium
Lineage: Bacteria
Description: partial 16S ribosomal RNA
Rfam family: Bacterial small subunit ribosomal RNA
Source: RNAcentral